GAUGAACGCUGGCGGCGUGCCUAACACAUGCAGGUCGAACGGUCGACUUCGGUCGAUAGUGGCGCACGGGUGAGUAACACGUGGUUGAUCUACCCUCAAGUAGGGGAUAACGUUCCGAAAGGAAUGCUAAUACCCUAUAAGCUCCCGGUGUUUAGAAGACUGGGAGAAAAGUUCCGGCGCUUGAGGAGGAGACUGCGAAC
Molecule: ribosomal RNA, 200 nt
Filed under: uncultured bacterium
Lineage: Bacteria
Description: partial 16S ribosomal RNA
Rfam family: Bacterial small subunit ribosomal RNA
Source: RNAcentral